Molecule: ribosomal RNA, 249 nt
Filed under: uncultured Actinomycetales bacterium
Lineage: Bacteria; Bacillati; Actinomycetota; Actinomycetes; Actinomycetales
Description: partial 16S ribosomal RNA
Rfam family: Bacterial small subunit ribosomal RNA
Source: RNAcentral
GGGGUGCUCGAGUGGCGAACGGGUGAGUAACACGUGAGUAACCUGCCCUUGACUUUGGGAUAACUUCAGGAAACUGGGGCUAAUACCGGAUAGGAGCUCCUGCUGCAUGGUGGGGGUCGGAAAGUUUCGGCGGUUGGGGAUGGACUCGCGGCUUAUCAGCUUGUUGGUGGGGUAGUGGCUUACCAAGGCUUUGACGGGUAGCCGGCCUGAGAGGGUGACCGGCCACAUUGGGACUGAGAUACGGCCCAG